RNAcentral lists this long non-coding RNA (295 nucleotides) under Ananas comosus (pineapple). Its description in RNAcentral is "long non-coding RNA (ACOM_LNC001353)". The record is from RNAcentral. Lineage: Eukaryota; Viridiplantae; Streptophyta; Magnoliopsida; Poales; Bromeliaceae.
GACGAAGAAAUAGGUGGAAAAAAAGAGAGAAAGAAGAGUGGCUUAAUGAUAAUCAGUAAAAUGAGAGAAUAAGGAGAAAGAAAGUUAAAUAAAAAUAGAAAAUACAAUGGAGGAAAAUCUAACGAGUUUUAGCGAUAAAAAUUAAUGCAAACUUUACAGGUUUUCACUAUGAAAAUUCAAAAAUUGUACUAAAAAAUUCAUCUCCAAAAGCGUAAUCAAUACUGUCCAUUAGUAUCAUCAUGCUCACACCAAAUUAAUAAAUAACCCCAAUAUAAAAAUUGAAGUUCUUCAACCU